AGAAACAUGAAAUGGGCUAGAACAUGUAAUAUCAGUAGCUCAAUGCUCAGAUUCUUAAUGUUUUACUUCCUUUAAUCUCAGGAUCCAUGUUUGCUGGGUUUCCGUUUGUGAUUAAAAGGCUCAGGGGUCACUCCAGGAAAACUGGGCUGACUGGGCUGCACAAAAUAAUCACACAAGAGACACAAAUACCUUUUUCUUUGGGGUCACUGUGACGGCUCCUCUGACCUUAAGGGUCCGCAGGAAGAGAGAGAGAGAGAGAGAGAGAGAGAGAGCACUGACCCCUUUUAUUGAGGAGAAGCUAUUCAAAUGAGGCAAGGGGUCAGGUUUCAGGGGGCUGAGUCUAUCUUCAUGAUGUCCACUGUCAGCAGGUUGACUAACAUCUGCGUAGGCCACAACCAAGGGCACAGUAAGAGAAGGGGACACACACAAGACACUUCCAUGGAAGAUUCUAUCCUAAACAGGGCAAGGGGUUAUAUUACAAAGGAACAGGUGAGCGUAGCUCCACCCAUGGGGCUGUAGCAAGACACACCCAUGCAUAAGACACCGACCCUCGAACCCAAGAAUGGUGGGGAAAGCUCUGUCGCAUUUCUGUGACUGAGCACCUCAGCACCCAGCCGAGGAGUGUGACUCAGUCAUGUGCAAGGUUGGUCUCCUACACAUGUUGUUUUCCUUUUCCAUUUUCUUCUGUCUUCAAUAGCUUAGGCACCUUAGACUCCUAUUUCUUUCUUGCCACUUUGUCACUAAGUUCAUUGUUUUCUACUCUAUAAUCUCAGGACAAGGAUAGUUCUGUUGGUGUAAGUAAUCUUGUGUUUCUUUCCUCAGCAAAAUUUCAUCUUGUCAAUAGUGUCCUUUUUCUUAUUCAUUUUAGCCUAAUCUCCAUCAUUUCCUAAAAUUCAUCUUCAUGUCUUUUUCUGAUUUCUUCUGUUACCUUAUUUUUAUCCUUCUCUUUCUCACAUAGAAUUAGUUAAUUUCCCUGUAUUUCAAAGGGGACUAUCACCAGAUACUGUCUGUAUGAGUUUGAUAAGGCUGCUAUGACAGACUUAAACAACAGAAAUUUAUUUUCUCACUACUCUGGAGGCUAAAAGUCCAAGAUCAAGGUAUCAACAGGGUCAUUUUUUUUUUCUGAGACCUUUCUUUAGCUUGUAUAUGACCAUCUUGUCCUUAAAUCUUCACAUAAUCUUCUCUCUGUGUUCUAUUUUGUGCUUCUCAUGAGGACACCAGUCAUUUUGAAUUAGGGCUGCACUAAUGACUUCAUUUUAACUUUAUUACUUCUUUAGACAUCCUAACUUUAAAUACAGUCACAUCUAGAACCUCACCAUCAGGACUUCAAUAUCUAUUUGUUUUUUUCCCUAGGUAGUUUCCUGAUUCAAAAAGCCUCAUGAUGAUUUGGUCUUUCUAGAACUUGUACAGAAAUUAUUAUUCUUAUCACUCUUUGUUAAUAAGCCAUGUGCCCAAAUGUGUCAUAGCAUCUGUUGUUUUGCUGUAUGAAAUUGUUAUGAAGGAUUUGUUAUUAAUUUCCUAUAUUCUGUUUUAUCUCCAAAAUAAGGUAAGUUGAAGAUGAACCACAUGUUCCUCUCUGAAAUUCCAUAAUAUUUGGUACAGCACUUCAUAUGCAAUAAAUUCUCAGUAUAAAAUUUGAUACUUUAGUCGAUGUUCUCCCAAUUUAGACUUUCCUACACAUUCAAACCAUCUGAAAGUUUGC
RNAcentral lists this long non-coding RNA (1702 nucleotides) under Marmota monax (woodchuck). The record is from RNAcentral. Lineage: Eukaryota; Metazoa; Chordata; Mammalia; Rodentia; Sciuridae.